Molecule: ribosomal RNA, 597 nt
Filed under: uncultured bacterium
Lineage: Bacteria
Description: bacterial SSU rRNA
Rfam family: Bacterial small subunit ribosomal RNA
Source: RNAcentral
UGCAGUCGAACGAGAAUCUGCUGAAGGAGGAUUCGUCCAACGGAAGCAGAGGAAAGUGGCGGACGGGUGAGUAACGCGUGAGGAACCUGCCUUGAAGAGGGGGACAACAGUUGGAAACGACUGCUAAUACCGCAUGACGCAUAGAGGUCGCAUGAUCUUUAUGCCAAAGAUUUAUCGCUUCAAGAUGGCCUCGCGUCUGAUUAGCUGGUUGGCGGGGUAACGGCCCACCAAGGCGACGAUCAGUAGCCGGACUGAGAGGUUGAACGGCCACAUUGGGACUGAGAUACGGCCCAGACUCCUACGGGAGGCAGCAGUGGGGAAUAUUGGGCAAUGGGCGCAAGCCUGACCCAGCAACGCCGCGUGAAGGAAGAAGGCUUUCGGGUUGUAAACUUCUUUUAAGAGGGAAGAGCAGAAGACGGUACCUCUAGAAUAAGCCACGGCUAACUACGUGCCAGCAGCCGCGGUAAUACGUAGGUGGCAAGCGUUGUCCGGAUUUACUGGGUGUAAAGGGCGUGCAGCCGGGUCUGCAAGUCAGAUGUGAAAUCCAUGGGCUCAACCCAUGAACUGCAUUUGAAACUGUGGAUCUUGAGUGUCGGA